This is a long non-coding RNA of Amphiprion ocellaris (clown anemonefish), 773 nucleotides long. RefSeq lists it as uncharacterized. The transcript is spliced from 4 exons. Lineage: Eukaryota; Metazoa; Chordata; Actinopteri; Pomacentridae. The record is from RefSeq and is a predicted model, not a curated record.
CACUGUGCUGCAUACAAUUACACACUACGUCAUAGGAUUGAGACAAGGAAACUUGGAAUGACUUUUCAUAGGUUUCCCAGAGACUAUGGGUUGAGGAGGAAGUGGAAGUUUGUCAGCUUAGACCUGGUGUCAUUCCAUCAGUGUUAAACUUCCCGGCUCAUCUUGGAAGAGUACGUGCCAGAAAGACCACGACCAAGCAGCCUUGAGAUCUUAGGCAGCGUCUCCCUGAGGUCCCUCUCUAUCUCCCCACACAUCCACCAACCACUGGAACACAUCUCCAAAGUUCUGCUGGGCCAGCUCAGCUUCCCCUCAGAAGAAGUGCAGCCACCUGCCAGAUGAAGGAGCCUUUUGAGAGGCAGCUGGCAUCGUGAUUGGACUGUACUUUGGUCUGUUCCAAUCCAGCUUCAGCUCCAGAGACGGCAGGCGGGACGAGUCAACGGAGGCCUGGUGGACGAAGGCAUGCAGCUGAGUACAAUCUAGAAAACAACAGAGGAGGAGUGCAGGGCCAGAACAAGCAGAGUAGCAUGACCAAAGAACUACAGACUCUUCACAACCUGCUCAAACUCUUGGUACAGGACCUCACCACACGGGUCAAGAAGGUUUCUGUCUCAUUUCUACUCUGAAGCUCACCUUCUCCUGCUCAAACUGCUGACAAAUGUUUCUGCUGCUCUAAAGUCUGGUCUCCAGAACUUCCUAAAAACUCUCAAAGUCUCUUCUGCUGCAGGUUGCUUUGUAGAACUGUUUCAGAAAACCUCACUGAACCACAUGGAGGG